Molecule: long non-coding RNA, 3598 nt
Filed under: Capsicum annuum
Lineage: Eukaryota; Viridiplantae; Streptophyta; Magnoliopsida; Solanales; Solanaceae
Description: long non-coding RNA (CANN_LNC016677)
Source: RNAcentral
AGUGAGGUGUAUACAAUACAGACCAAUGAAUAAAUAAAAUGAAGCUAUGAAACUAAACUAAGAAAGAAAAAAGCAACCACUCCCAAGUCCCCGGUGACUCUUCCAAUACCACUUAAUACCUGUCACAUACGACAAAAGAGUGGUACAAGUACAAAAGGAAUACUUGGCUAUACCAACACAUUGUCUUAUAUAGAGGAACAAAGAAACACAGGCAUAGCAAGCAAGCACAACAUAAUUAUUUUAAAUUAGUUCCUAUAUACAUGCUUUCUAUGCUUUGCUAUCACAAAUGCUACAGAAUAAGAAAAGAAUGCGUCGAUAGAGACUAACCGAUUAGGCACCAAACAAUAAUAAUAGAACCCAAAGCAAUUGCAGCAAGGACAAGAUCGAAUGUUUUUUGAAAUCCAAAGUGCCAAAGAACUUCAAAGUACUUUUAAGAGAAAAUAGAGGGAUUAAUAGCAGAUGAGAAGUCUGUCCUCUUAGAGAAAGAGAAUGGUGAGUUUAUAUAGUGAGGAGGGCCGUCCACAAUCCCAAAUAAUGAAGGAAGAGUAAUAUUUAAUGAAGGAAGAAUAACAUAUAAUGAAUCAAUUAAGGGGAUUGUUCCCUUAAAUGGAUGGGGGUAAAUCAAUCCGUUCCGCCAAUCAUACUAUAGUUGCCAUAAAUAAAUAUAUAAGGGUAUGCAUAACAUUUGAAAUUUCCAUGAAUAGAAAAAAUAAAAAGAGAUCCUUCCUACUUAUUAAAUGUAAUCAAGAAGAGGUAUCUAAAUUUACCAUAAUUAACGUGUGAGGGGAUGUCUGACGUCAACCAAAUUUCCUUUUCAGAUUAUAUGCUAAUUAAGGAAAAUAUAAAAUCACACAAAAUUCAGUCAAAUCCAACAAAGGAAAGAUCGGUUAAGCAAAUCAGUCAUACAAAUUAUUUAUUUACCAAAGAAAAGAAGAACUGCCAUAUAGUGAUCACAUAAUCAAGGCAAACGAUAAUUAAUAGUAUUUAAGUUUUAGAAGAAAAUUGACACAAGACUCAAUCAAAAUUAAUUACUUACCAUAAACCAUUGUUAAAGUAAUCAGCCACGUCUCUCAAUUAAAGAUAGUAUAUAAAUCAAUCAACUGUAAAUUCUCAAGUAGGCACAGUGAAGAAUUUUAAAACCCAUCACAAAGGAAAAUAAUCAAUCGUUUAACACGAUAGUAGUACCACAAUUAUAAUAAGGCGAUUACAAAAUCAUAAAACAUGCCAAAAAAAUAGUCAAUAUUAGCAAGCAACAAUCUACAAUGAUUAGUAAUGAGUAUCUUGUCAGAAAGUUAAAACCAAGUCACAAAAGAAGUUGGGAUUUUCUUACCCAUAUUGACUAAGAGGUAUAAAAUAUGUGAAGUUGCAAGAACUUAGGCGUGUUUGCACAUACCAGAGAGAGACGAAAAAAUUGACUUACCAUUCAAGUUAAGCAUCACGAAAUUUCAAUCAAGCAGGACAUUCAAAUAGGGUCGAAUAAAAAUCAUAGACUUAAAAUCAACACAUUUAUUCAGCAAAAAUCAAACGUGGCCACACUCGAUUCGAAGAAUCUUUCUAUGAGAAACACAGAUGAAGAAAUAGUACUAAAGUUCACACACAUAUUUCGAACAGGGGAUCAAACCUGAAGACGGAUUCUCUCAGAAUCCGUCAUUUUCGAUGAGGAAGUGUUGCAGGUUGGAACGCCGAAGGGGUUUGCUGGAGGUAUCGCUGUAGGGAGAGGAGUCGAGGCUGUGUCGCAGCUGUUGGACGUUCUCUAGAGGGGAGAAAGAAGGAGACUGGAGGACGGAGGAUGGAGCGGGGACGUGGAGGCUUGUCUGGACGUCUCCGUCUAUGGCGGUGCCACUGGUGGCGCUGUUCGUCGAUGAAGGAUGAGAAGGGAGGGGGCUGGCCAUCGGAGCAGCGGCUGGGCUCACUUGGGGUAGGCGCUGGCGGCGCGUAUGGAGGAGAAGGAAGAGGCGACGGCGAAGGCUGUUCGCCAGAGAUGGCGACCUGGCGACGAGGACUCGGAGCGGCGGGGGGUGGUUUUGGUGGUCGAUUAGCGACGGAGAGAUCGAAGGAGAGGGGGGAGAUCGAGAUUUGGAGGUGUUUAUAGAGAGAGAAAGAGAGAGGUAGAGAGAUAGAGGCAAAAGUUGGGGAAAAAAAAUUAGGGUUAGCGUUUGUAGGUUUUAAAUAUGGAAAGAGAGAUCUUUUGAUCUCAAUCGUUGGAUUGAUUUUUGAUUGACGACUGAGAUUUAAUGUCAUGGGGGAAUUAAAAUGUGGCUAGAAUGAAAAAUAAUGGUUGAAAUUGUAAGAAUUGGGUUAAGAUUGUAAUGGAUUGGGUAAAAAUAGGCUAUAAUUGUAAGAAAUUAAAUAAAAUUGAAUUAAAAGGUAAAUAAAAUCAGGGAAGGUAAUUUUGACUAGAAUGUUAUUUAAAUUAAAGUAGGAAUAAUAAUAAUAAUAUAUGAUAAUAGUAAUUAAAUAAUAAAUAGUAACAUUAAAUAAUAAAUAAUCACAAAUAUAAUAAAAGAUAAAUAAUAAUAAUGAAAAAAAUUUUAAUUAAAAAAAUAAAAUUACAAAAAUGUCAUUUUUAAUUUUAAAAUAUUAUAAAAAAAUGAUUCUAAAAGAUAAUUGAUGAUUUAUGCAUUUUCUAAAUUAUGAAUGCGAUAUGUCGGAAAUCUGUUUGAUGCAAGAAAAUAUGCAAAAAUACUAAUGUUUAAAAAUUAACGAUUUUGUUAAAAUAACAACCUAAAUGUAGUGUCGGGAGGACAAAAUUGGGAGGCAACAUCACAGUGUAAGAAAGAGACUCUUCGUGUAAGGGAAAAUGGGACAAGUUUUGAUGCGUAGGAUAACAAAGAAUGGACAAACUAAGGUUGUAUUUACCUACGCGAUUUAUAGAAUACGUAAAUCCCCGCCCCCCAAGCAGUCCCAAUAAUUACCAUUACAUCAGUGAGGUUUAUACAAUAUAGACCAAUGAAUAAAUAAAAUGAAGCUAUGAAACUAAACUAAGAAAGAAAUAAGCAACCACUCCCAAGUCCCCGGUGGCUCUUCCAAUACCACUUAAUACCUGUCACAUACGAGCAAAAGAGUGGUACAGGCACAGAAGGAAUACUUGACUAUACCAACACAUUGUCUUAGAGGAACAAACAAAAACAGGCAUAGCAAGCAAGCACAACAUAAUUAUUUUAAAUUAAUUCCUAUAGACAUGUUUUCUAUGCUUUGCUAUCACAAAUGCUACAGAAUAAGAAAAGAAUGGGUCGAUAGAGACUAACCGAUUAGGCACCAAACAAUAAUAAUAGAACCCAAAGUAAUUGCAGCAAGGACAAUACCAAAUGUUUUUCGAAAUCCAAAGUGCCAAAGAACUUUAAAGUACUUUUAAGAGAAAAUAGAGGGAGUAAUAGCGGAGGAGAAGUCUGUCCUCUUAGAGAAAGAGAAUGGUGAGUUUAUAUAGUGAGGAGGGCCGUCCACAAUCCCAAAUAAUGAAGGAAGAAUAAUAUUUAAUGAAGGAAGAAUAACAUAUAAUGAAUCAAUUAAGGGGAUUGUUCCCUUAAAUGGAUGUGAGUAAAUCAAUCCGUUCCACCAAUCAUACUAUAGUUGCCAUAAAUAAAUAAACAAGGGUAUG